AGAAGCAGACAUGGUGUGAUAUUGAGUCGGCUCAUCAAUCAAUCCCAGUCAUAUUCGUGUUCAAACUGAUGAUCACGUUAAUAAUAUGAUUUCUGAGACGAGCCGAACCAAUAUCACUCUUGUAUUCUUCU
Molecule: microRNA precursor, 131 nt
Filed under: Fragaria vesca subsp. vesca
Lineage: Eukaryota; Viridiplantae; Streptophyta; Magnoliopsida; Rosales; Rosaceae
Source: RNAcentral